RNAcentral lists this ribosomal RNA (497 nucleotides) under uncultured bacterium. RNAcentral describes it as "partial 16S ribosomal RNA". It matches the Rfam family "Bacterial small subunit ribosomal RNA", at positions 28 to 507 of the family's 1533-position model. The record is from RNAcentral.
GACGAACGCUGGCGGCGUGCCUAAUACAUGCAAGUAGAACGCUGAAGAGAGGAGCUUACUCUUCUUGGAUGAGUUGCGAACGGGUGAGUAACGCGUAGGUAACCUGCCUUGUAGCGGGGGAUAACUAUUGGAAACGAUAGCUAAUACCGCAUAACAAUGGAUGACACAUGCCAUUUAUUUGAAAGGGGCAAUUGCUCCACUACAAGAUGGACCUGCGUUGUAUUAGCUAGUAGGUGAGGUAAUGGCUCACCUAGGCGACGAUACAUAGCCGACCUGAGAGGGUGAUCGGCCACACUGGGACUGAGGCACGGCCCAGACUCCUACGGGAGGCAGCAGUAGGGAAUCUUCGGCAAUGGGGGCAACCCUGACCGAGCAACGCCGCGUGAGUGAAGAAGGUUUUCGGAUCGUAAAGCUCUGUUGUAAGUCAAGAACGGGUGUGAGAGUGGAAAGUUCACACUGUGACGGUAGCUUACCAGAAAGGGACGGCUAACUACGUG